CCUCCCUCCCUCCCCUCUCCCCUCUCCCUCCCUCUCCCUCUCUCCCUCCCUCUCCCUCUCCCCCCCUCUCUCUCUCCUUCUGUCUAACAGAGGAAGAGCCCAGGGAGAUGUUCAAUGUAUUUGUUUCCACAUGGUGACCAACCCAACAGGUUAAAACUCUGUACUGAAUAAGACACUGUAUAAUAAUUAUACCAAUAGAAGUAUGUUGUAAGUGCUUCUGAUUCCCACAAGAGGAACAUGUUCAGAGGGUUAAAACACAUCAGUCUUCAGAACACUGUCAACAACUGGUUUGGUCUGUUACGUAGAGCAUCUGAAGACAGGACAGAAACAUGCUGUUCAGAAGGUCUAUGGAGGGAAAACAGUUGAUGACUGAACAUGUGACUUCUUAUCCAGGUCUCCAUUGGUUCAACUGUUUCAGUUUAAACUGAGUUUACAGUGAUCUGCCCGAUACGGUAUGGUGGCCUGGGAGGGACACUGGUCUUUUAAAGGCUCAUGUUACUCUUAGGGACGACUGUACUCUACACCUCUUGUCUGUCUACCACACUCCCAUACCUACAUUCCUAUAUAAUGGGUACUAUGUUGGUAUCUCUCUGUUUAUGAUUUGUGACACAGAGGUCAUAUGGAGUUUUGCUCAUUGUUUUUGUGUAAAUACUGAUACUGUGGUGAUGAUAUGAAACAUGUGAUUGGAUAGGAGUGGUGUGGUGAAUCUAAAGGAUUUGAUUGGACGGGAGAGAAAGUGGUGUGGUGAAUCUAAAGGAUUUGAUUGGACAGGAGAGAAUGUGGUGUGGUGAAUCUAAAGGAUUUGAUUGGACAGGAGAGAAAGUGGUGUGGUAAAUCUAAAUGAUUUGAUUGGACAGGAGAGAAUGUGGUGUGGUAAUUCUAAUGGAUUUGAUUGGACAGGAGAGAAAGAGGUGUGGUGAUUCUAAUGGAUUUGAUUGGACGGGAGAGAAAGAGGUGUGGUGAAUCUGAAGGAUUUGAUUGGACGGGAGAGAAAGAGGUGUGGUGAAUCUGAAGGAUGGCUGCAGUGCCUUGUCAGAGAGCAGUUGUUGUUUUUUGACACGGUAUUUGGUUCCAGUCUGCACCAUUUUAGUAAAAGUUGUACAAAACUAAACCGCGUGCCUCAUCUCCUUCCUUUCAUCCUCCUACAUUGCCAUUUAGCCAAGGCUUUUAUUCAAAGCCACUCACAGUGCACCUGCAUUUUUUUAUACACAUGUGACAACAAUUGUUGUUGUGAUGCAACUGAUAUUUAUGUGAAGGUUUGUCCCCCAACACUUUUUAUGCAGAUAACCUGCCACUCUUAUCACGACUGCUGUGCCAAACGCGUUGUACAUCGGCUGUACAACUUGUGUACGUGGCCUUAUAGGGAGAACCUCCAUUGCUGUUUCCGUGAUCCCUCUUUCGUCCCUCUCUCUCUCUCCUCACCGCCUCCUCAAAACCCAUUGAAUGAGAAGGUCAGAGGUCCCUCCUGUUUGGCAUUCUCAUCCAACAGGGUUUUGAGAAAGAGGCGAGGAGAAAGGGCUUUGAGGAAUCCAGGAAAUGCAAUUGUGAUUCUCCCUGUUGUUUGUGAGUUGUGAGUCACAGGGCCCCACCACUCAGACGUGUAACAGGGACAAUCAUUUGAUGGUAAAUCAACAGUGUUUAUUAAUGUGUAAAACAAGGGUCUAUCAGGAGGCAGAGUACAGAACAUUAAGCUACAACACUAUAAAACAUCAGAGACAGGAGAUAAACAACAACACAAACAUUGUCAUGUCAUGGGUGGGUGUGGAUGUCUGUCUGUCUGUCUGUCUGUCUGUCUGUCUGUCUGUCUGUCUGUCUGUCUGUCUGUCUGUCUGUAUGUAUGUAUGUAUGUAUGUAUGUAUGUAUGUAUGUAUGUAUGUAUGUAUGUAUGUAU
Oncorhynchus tshawytscha (Chinook salmon) is the source of this 1891-nucleotide long non-coding RNA. The record is from Ensembl. Lineage: Eukaryota; Metazoa; Chordata; Actinopteri; Salmoniformes; Salmonidae.